AUGUCUGACAGCAGUUUGAAGAGGAAAUGGAUUCUGUUCUGUUCUUCACUCAUCACCUACCUGACAGCUGACACCUCACACCUGUUUCUCACCUGCAGGUCAGUCAGGAGGACAAAGUGGAGGGAAGGAGGAUGAAGGAGAGAAGAGUGGAUCUGUUGGACUGAUAGUUGGUCUGUCAGUUCUUGCUGUGCUUGUUGUUGGUGUUGGUGCUGUUUUUAUCUACAGAACAUAUACACGUACACCAAAUCCAGAUUACCGGCCCCUGUGGAUCAGGGGCUUUGAAAUUCCAUCAGUGGCUUCCAAACUGAACCGUGUUGGUGUUUUGAUCAACAUAAGAUAUAAAGAACAACGUUAGGACUCACAUGGUCCUUGCACUGAACCACAGAGACAAAUGUUUGAGAAUUUGAGAAUUCUGUGGCUGAAUUGUGAAUCUCCUGCUGAUGAAGAUGGAGACAAAAAUGAUAUGAAAACAGACAGCUGUCACCAACACGCCGCAAGGAUCCCUGAUGUCACUUUGACACUUGA
Molecule: long non-coding RNA, 525 nt
Organism: Haplochromis burtoni (Burton's mouthbrooder)
Lineage: Eukaryota; Metazoa; Chordata; Actinopteri; Cichliformes; Cichlidae
Exons: 2
Source: RefSeq, a predicted model, not a curated record